Molecule: long non-coding RNA, 253 nt
Filed under: Sorghum bicolor (sorghum)
Lineage: Eukaryota; Viridiplantae; Streptophyta; Magnoliopsida; Poales; Poaceae
Description: long non-coding RNA (SBIC_LNC011062)
Source: RNAcentral
CGUUGCCGGGGAACGUUAGCUAUUCUAGAAUGAAAUUAAGUUUGUCCAACUUUUAUUUUUCAUUUACCACUUUUUUAUUUUUAUUAUUUCUUUCUAACAAUAACCUAAAUUCCACGGCUAUGUAUCAAUAUGCUGCACCCAUGAGCACAAGCUUAGAGCCACUAGAGCCCAUGAUUCUCACAUCUAGCUAUGAGCUACGCCCAUGUUUGGUUGCAAUAGGUCCAAGCCAACCCUUUUCUACAGCUAGAGUCCU